RNAcentral lists this ribosomal RNA (484 nucleotides) under uncultured bacterium. RNAcentral describes it as "bacterial SSU rRNA". It matches the Rfam family "Bacterial small subunit ribosomal RNA", at positions 17 to 518 of the family's 1533-position model. The record is from RNAcentral.
UUAUGGCUCAGGACGAACGCUGGCGGCGUGCCUAACACAUGCAAGUCGAGCGAGGAGAUCCUUCGGGAUGAUCCUAGCGGCGGACGGGUGAGUAACACGUGGGCAACCUGCCUCAUAGAGAGGAAUAGCCUUCCGAAAGGGAGAUUAAUACCUCAUAACAUUGCAGUUUCGCAUGGAACAGCAAUUAAAGGAGCAAUCCGCUAUGAGAUGGGCCCGCGGCGCAUUAGCUAGUUGGUGAGGUAACGGCUCACCAAGGCGACGAUGCGUAGCCGACCUGAGAGGGUGAUCGGCCACAUUGGGACUGAGACACGGCCCAGACUCCUACGGGAGGCAGCAGUGGGGAAUAUUGCACAAUGGGGGAAACCCUGAUGCAAGCAACGCCGCGUGAGUGAUGACGGCCUUCGGGUCGUAAAGCUCUGUCUUCAGGGACGAUAAUGACGGUACCUGAGGAGGAAGCCACGGCUAACUACGUGCCAGCCGCUGC